RNAcentral lists this long non-coding RNA (557 nucleotides) under Marmota monax (woodchuck). The record is from RNAcentral. Lineage: Eukaryota; Metazoa; Chordata; Mammalia; Rodentia; Sciuridae.
CAGACCUGGUGAUAGCAGCAGGCUCUUCUGGAAGGUUAUGUAAGUCAUAGAUUUUUAUCUUCAUUCUCAGAGGCUACAUCCCUAAAAGGUCUAGUUUGGUUUCCUAUAGAGAGAACUCCUGAUCACUGAUUUGCACAUAGCACCAUCAUGGAGAAAGUGAUGGGCUACAUCAUAUAAAAUAAACAUUAGUAUAUUUGGGGGGCCAAGUACUCUGUACACAUAUUGUCUGAAAUUAUUCUUUGUUAUGAUGACUGUGAUAGGUAAUUUUAUAUGUCUACUUUGCUAGGCUAUAAUGUCCAGUUUGGGGUUGCUGUGAAGGUGUUAUUAAAUGUGAUGAACAUUUUAAUCAAUAAACUUUGAGUGAAGCAGAUUACCCUUCAGUUGAAGGUUUUAUGAAAAAGGAAUGAAGUCUUUGAAAAAAGACAAAAAUUUACCUCCAGACUGCUUUGAACCUGACAAUGCAACAUAAACUCUUUCCUGGGAUUCCAUCCUGCCAGCCUUGCUGAUUUCAGACUUGUCAACCUCCACAAUCAUGUAAGUUAAUUUUCUAAAAUUCC